CACGUAGGGGCGAGCGUUGUCCGGAAUUACUGGGCGUAAAGAGCUCGUAGGUGGUUUGUCGCGUCGUCUGUGAAAUUCCGGGGCUCAACCCCGGACUUGCAGUGGGUACGGGCAGACUAGAGUGUGGUAGGGGAGACUGGAAUUCCUGGUGUAGCGGUGAAAUGCGCAGAUAUCAGGAGGAACACCGAUGGCGAAGGCAGGUCUCUGGGCCACUACUGACGCUGAGAAGCGAAAGCAUGGGGAGCGAACAGGAUUAGAUACCCUGGUA
RNAcentral lists this ribosomal RNA (268 nucleotides) under uncultured prokaryote. Its description in RNAcentral is "partial 16S ribosomal RNA". It matches the Rfam family "Bacterial small subunit ribosomal RNA", at positions 524 to 792 of the family's 1533-position model. The record is from RNAcentral.